GGUUCAGUGCUGAGAUCACUGUGUUUGUGCAGACUGGAGAUUCUGUUUAACUGGAUUUACAGACACAACAACUACCAGAGUUUGAUGAUUUAUUCUGGAUAAAUGAUAAAUAUGAAUAUAUAGUUAAAUAUUCUAAUGAAUAUAAGAAGAUUAAAACUUACUCGUCAUAUCAGAACAGAAUAGAGUUUAAUGAAACAAGCUUCUCUCUGACACUGAAGAACAUGCAGAAGGCAGACAGUGGACGAUACACAGCAAGAAUAAACAGAGAUUUAGACAAAGACAUGUUGUAUACAGAGUGUCUGUUAUAGCUGAGUGUCAUUUCUGUGUGUGAUUUAACAUUUUGCUCCAUAAAAGACUAUUCAUAAUUCAUAAAUGUAGUUUAUGUUCAGUUUUUCACUUUCAGAUAUGCAGAUUUAAAUCAGCUUACACCACUUUGUCUUUAGUUCAGGAUUUUAUCUCCUACUGCAGUUAUAAUUGACUAGUUAAUACUCUUGUAUGUGUAUAAAUGGUUUGGUCUUCAGCUUUGACAGUAUAUCGUAUCACUCAGCUGAUUGUGAUCCUGUAAGUGUAAAUGUGUGUUUUAGAUGCAGUGGAGGCUCCUGUUCUGACUGUAAACUCAAUCAGCUGUGACUCCUGUACUGUUAACUUCACAUGCAGAGCUCAAGACCUCAUCAUUAAUAACUCUAGCUAUCAGAACAACCAUUGCUCACCAGAGGAAGUGACAUCACAGCAGAUCAACACCCUCAUCCUGUUCUGCAGUGAGGAAUCGAUCUUCUGUAACUACAGCAAUCCUGUCAGCUGGAAAAAAGAGGAAAUGGAGAUUAAACCACUCUGUAGAGAGAAAGAAAUAUCACUAAAACCCGCCCCUCGUCUAUCUUUCAUUGUGUUGAUUACUGGAGUGAUAAUAAUGAUGAUAGCGUUUGCUGGUUUGAUCCUUUACUGUGUC
This is a non-coding RNA of Danio rerio (zebrafish), 946 nucleotides long. The record is from Ensembl. NCBI's taxonomy places the organism in Eukaryota, Metazoa, Chordata, Actinopteri, Cypriniformes, Danionidae.